CCUACGGGAGGCAGCAGUGGGGAAUCUUGCGCAAUGGGCGAAGGCCUGACGCAGCAACGCCGCGUGCGGGAAGAAGGCCCUAGGGUUGUAAACCGCUUUCAGUAGGAACGAAAAUGACGGUACCUGCAGAAGAAGGUGCGGCCAACUACGUGCCAGCAGCCGCGGUGACACGUAGGCACCAAGCGUUGUCCGGAUUUAUUGGGCGUAAAGAGCUCGUAGGCGGUUCAGUAAGUCGGGUGUGAAAACUCUGGGCUUAACCCAGAGCCGCCACUCGAUACUGCUGUGACUUGAGUUCGGUAGGGGAGCAGGGAAUUCCUAGUGUAGCGGUGAAAUGCGCAGAUAUUAGGAGGAACACCGGUGGCGAAGGCGCUGCUCUGGGCCGAUACUGACGCUGAGGAGCGAAAGCGUGGGUAGCAAACAGGAUUAGAUACCCUGGUAGUCCACGCCGUAAACGUUGGGCACUAGGUGUGGGUUCCAACCAACGGAAUCCGCGCCGUCGCUAACGCAUUAAGUGCCCCGCCUGGGGAGUACGGCGGCAACGCUAAAACUCAAAGGAAUUGACGG
Molecule: ribosomal RNA, 564 nt
Filed under: uncultured bacterium
Lineage: Bacteria
Description: bacterial SSU rRNA
Rfam family: Bacterial small subunit ribosomal RNA
Source: RNAcentral